This 460-nucleotide ribosomal RNA is filed under the name uncultured bacterium. Its description in RNAcentral is "partial 16S ribosomal RNA". It matches the Rfam family "Bacterial small subunit ribosomal RNA", at positions 338 to 795 of the family's 1533-position model. The record is from RNAcentral.
CCUACGGGAGGCAGCAGUGAGGAAUAUUGGUCAAUGGACGAGAGUCUGAACCAGCCAAGUAGCGUGAAGGAUGACUGCCCUAUGGGUUGUAAACUUCUUUUAUAAAGGAAUAAAACGAGGCACGUGUGCCUGUUUGCAUGUACUUUAUGAAUAAGGAUCGGCUAACUCCGUGCCAGCAGCCGCGGUAAUACGGAGGAUCCGAGCGUUAUCCGGAUUUAUUGGGUUUAAAGGGAGCGUAGAUGGGCUGAUAAGUCAGUUGUGAAAGUUUGAGGCUCAACCGUAAAAUUGCAAUUGAUACUGGCAGUCUUGAGUACAGUUGAGGUAGGCGGAAUUCGUGGUGUAGCGGUGAAAUGCUUAGAUAUCACGAAGAACCCCGAUUGCGAAGGCAGCUUACUAAGCUGUGACUGACAUUGAUGCUCGAAAGUGUGGGUAUCAAACAGGAUUAGAUACCCUAGUAGUC